UACGAAGGGGGCUAGCGUUGUUCGGAAUUACUGGGCGUAAAGCGCGUGUAGGCGGGUCUUUAAGUCAGGGGUGAAAUGCCAGGGCUCAACCUUGGAACUGCCUUUGAUACUGGAGACCUUGAGUCCGGGAGAGGUGAGUGGAAUUGCGAGUGUAGAGGUGAAAUUCGUAGAUAUUCGCAAGAACACCAGUGGCGAAGGCGGCUCACUGGCCCGGAACUGACGCUGAGACGCGAAAGCGUGGGGAGCGAACAGG
This 253-nucleotide ribosomal RNA is filed under the name uncultured bacterium. RNAcentral describes it as "partial 16S ribosomal RNA". It matches the Rfam family "Bacterial small subunit ribosomal RNA", at positions 524 to 776 of the family's 1533-position model. The record is from RNAcentral.